UAACCUCGGGAAACUGAGGAUAAUGGUUCAUAGUUGAAUAGGCUUGGAAAAGUUUUUCAAUGAAAGGAAUAAGAUAAAUGGUUCUUAUUUGCCAUAGGAUAGGAUCGUGGUCGAUUAUGGUAGUUGGUGAGAUAACGGCUCACCAAGCCGAUAAUCGAUAGGGGCCGUGAGAGCGGGAGCCCCAAGAUGGGUACUGAGACAGCGACCCAGGCCUUACGAGGCGCAGCAGGCGCGAGACCUCCGCAAUACACGAAAGUGUGACGGGGUUACCCAAAGUGUUCUCUUAAGAACUGUGGUAGGUGAGUAAUGUCCCCUGCUAGAAAGGAGAGGGCAAGGCUGGUGCCAGCCGCCGCGGUAAAACCAGCUCUUCAAGUGGUCGGGAUAAUUAUUGGGCUUAAAGUGUCCGUAGCCGGUUUAGUAAGUUCCUGGUAAAAUCGGGUAGCUUAACUAUCUGCAUGCUAGGAAUACUGCUAUACUAGAGGGCGGGAGAGGUCUGAGGUACUACAGGGGUAGGGGUGAAAUCUUAUAAUCCUUGUAGGACCACCAGUGGCGAAGGCGUCAGACUGGAACGCGCCUGACGGUGAGGGACGAAAGCCAGGGGGGCGAACCGGAUUAGAUACCCGGGUAGUCCUGGCCGUAAACGAUGCAUACUAGGUGAUGGUACGGCCAUGAGCCGUAUCAGUGCCGUAGGGAAACCGUUAAGUGUGCCGCCUGGGAAGUACGGUCGCAAGGCUAAAACUUAAAGGAAUUGGCGGGGGAGCACCACAAGGGGUGAAGCCUGCGGUUCAAUUGGACCCAACGCCGGGAAACUUACCAGGGGAGACAGCAGAAUGAGGGUCAGGUUGACGACCUUACCUGAUGAGCUGAGAGGAGGUGCAUGGCCGUCGCCAGUUCGUGCUGUGAGGUAUCCUGUUAAGUCAGGCAACGAACGAGAUCCGCACCUUUAUUUGCCAACAAGAAGUUACGACUUCGUUGGGAACACUAAAGGGACCGCCGUCGAUAAGACGGAGGAAGGAGCGGGCAAAGGCAGGUCAGUAUGCCCCGAAACCCCUGGGCUACACGCGGGCUGCAAUGGUAUGAACAAUGGGCUGUAACUCCGAAAGGAGAAACCAAUCCCGAAAUCAUAUCACAGUGGGGAUUGUUGGCUGUAACCCGCCGACAUGAACGUGGAAUCCCUAGUAAUCGUGUGUCAUCAUCGCACGGUGAAUACGUCUCUGCUCCUUGCACACACCGCCCGUCGCUCCAUCCGAGUGUACUAAAAAUGAGGUUUGGUCAGACUGGUCAUAUCGAGUUUCUAGUAUGCGAGGAGGGAGAAGUCGUAACAAGGUA
RNAcentral lists this ribosomal RNA (1329 nucleotides) under metagenome. Its description in RNAcentral is "bacterial SSU rRNA". It matches the Rfam family "Archaeal small subunit ribosomal RNA", at positions 127 to 1445 of the family's 1478-position model. The record is from RNAcentral.